This 405-nucleotide ribosomal RNA is filed under the name uncultured bacterium. RNAcentral describes it as "bacterial SSU rRNA". It matches the Rfam family "Bacterial small subunit ribosomal RNA", at positions 29 to 481 of the family's 1533-position model. The record is from RNAcentral.
AGCGAACGCUGGCGGCAGGCUUAACACAUGCAAGUCGAACGAUCCUUCGGGAUAGUGGCGGACGGGUGAGUAACACGUGGGAACGUGCCCUUAGGUUCGGAACAACACAGGGAAACUUGUGCUAAUACCGGAUAAGCCCUUACGGGGAAAGAUUUAUCGCCUUUGGAGCGGCCCGCGUCUGAUUAGCUUGUUGGUGAGGUAAAGGCUCACCAAGGCUACGAUCAGUAGCUGGUCUGAGAGGAUGGCCAGCCACAUUGGGACUGAGACACGGCCCAAACUCCUACGGGAGGCAGCAGUGGGGAAUCUUGCGCAAUGGGCGAAAGCCUGACGCAGCCAUGCCGCGUGGAUGAUGAAGGUCUUAGGAUUGUAAAAUCCUUUCAGCGGGGACGAUAAUGACGGUACCCG